Aphis gossypii (cotton aphid) is the source of this 913-nucleotide long non-coding RNA. RefSeq lists it as uncharacterized. The transcript has 4 exons. Lineage: Eukaryota; Metazoa; Arthropoda; Insecta; Hemiptera; Aphididae. The record is from RefSeq and is a predicted model, not a curated record.
CUUUGAUAAUGUGACUAUGUGAGGCGAGAUUAAAUUUAUUAGAAUUAUUUGUUUAAUCUUUUUGUGUUGCUACAGUAUUUGUAUAAUAAUAAUUACAAUUGCUUGUGUUGAUUAACAGUUAUAAUGUGAUAAUAUGAAUCGUUGAUACAAUCACAUACACUAUACAUCUAUUUUUUAAUAACUGCUUAUGUGCGUUUUGGCUAACGCAAUUUAACUCACAAAGAUAUUUCCGCAAAGUGUGAAUAAACAAUUUAUUAUCCAUACCAAAAAAGACAGAGAUCAUCUCAGCUACCUAUUGUGAUCUUAAAUCCCUAACUAAAAACUGAAAAAGGCACUCCACAUUCAGCAAUUAUAUUACAAAGGAACUUUUACAGAAAUUCAGGUCGGCUCCAUGAAAAAUGAGUUAGCUAAAGAGCCAUUCAGAUAAAGAAGUGAAAAAUGCCAAAAGCGUCUAAUGUUCUCAAAUCGAAUGGGUGUUUUUUCACUUAUGGGCUACAGCCUUAAAAACUACAUAAUAUUGUUAAUGUUUAAGUACAUGUAAUUUUAAACAAUGGAUUACAAUUUGAAGAGCAACAUUUAGGCAAUUUCUAAUCUCAUCAUCGUCGCCUGGGAUCUAUAUAAUGUGUUAGUCGCAACUAUAUUAUGCGUUCAAACAACCGAAAACUACUAAAUCGUGCAUGUUUAUGGCCAAUUGGACUAUCCUACUAUGUAUAAAUGAAAAUAAAACAAAGUACAUGAUGAUGCCAAGGAACAAUCAAAACACAAACAACUUUUUGGUUAGCAAAAUAAAAUUUGAAGUAAUGAUCACUUCUGACUACAAUCUACACAGAUAGAACUAAUUGAAGAUAGGUUGAACGCAUUAACAAUUAUGUCAAUUGAAAAUGACAUAAUAUGUAAAAAUAUCUCUCAUUUG